This 68-nucleotide non-coding RNA is filed under the name Prauserella sp. The record is from RNAcentral. Lineage: Bacteria; Bacillati; Actinomycetota; Actinomycetes; Pseudonocardiales; Pseudonocardiaceae.
CGUGAACCCGGCAUUCGGGUUCCCGGACGAGGGAGCCGUACCCGGACGCGCGACAAGACGGCCACGGA